RNAcentral lists this ribosomal RNA (552 nucleotides) under Triticum aestivum (bread wheat). Its description in RNAcentral is "partial small subunit ribosomal RNA". The record is from RNAcentral. Lineage: Eukaryota; Viridiplantae; Streptophyta; Magnoliopsida; Poales; Poaceae.
AUGAGAUGCCUAAGUUGGAACUGCCAUGGGCUUGGGAACCCAGCGGCAGUUCGAGAGCUUCGCAGUGUUGUGAAGCAAGAAGGGACCGGUCUCCUCUUCUUGAUGGAGACGAAAAUCCCGGCAAAAAGACUAGAGAAUCUGCAAGCUACCUUAGGUUUUGCAGGAUGUUUUGCAUUGAACAGUGCUGGUUUAAGUGGAGGUAUUGGUUUGUUCUGGUCAACUGAUUUUACUGUUGAUCUUAAGAGCUAUAGUUCUGGCCAUAUCGAUGUUAUGGUGCAGAAAAGUGACAUGAGCGAAGAUCCCAUUCGGUUCACAGGUUUUUAUGCUGCCCCUAGAGUAUCCGACCGUCACCACAGCUGGAGUUUUCUUCGCACCCUUAAUGCAAUUCCACACUCGGCUUGGUUGUGUGUUGGAGACUUCAACGAGACACUGUAUGCCUCGGAACACUUCUCACGCGCCGCCAGGCCUGAAUGGCAGAUGCGAGCUUUCCGAGAUGUCACGGAUGAAUGUUUGUUUCAGGACCUGGGAUGGACGGGUACUGAGUACACAUGA